Molecule: ribosomal RNA, 322 nt
Filed under: uncultured Pseudomonadota bacterium
Lineage: Bacteria; Pseudomonadati; Pseudomonadota
Description: bacterial SSU rRNA
Rfam family: Bacterial small subunit ribosomal RNA
Source: RNAcentral
AUUGAACGCUGGCGGAAUGCUUUACACAUGCAAGUCGAACGGCAGCACGGGGGCAACCCUGGUGGCGAGUGGCGAACGGGUGAGUAAUACAUCGGAACGUGCCCAGUCGUGGGGGGAUAACUACGCGAAAGCGUAGCUAAUACCGCAUACGAUCUACGGAUGAAAGCGGGGGAUCGCAAGACCUCGCGCGAUUGGAGCGGCCGAUGGCAGAUUAGGUAGUUGGUGGGGUAAAGGCUCACCAAGCCGACGAUCUGUAGCUGGUCUGAGAGGACGACCAGCCACACUGGGACUGAGACACGGCCCAGACUCCUACGGGAGGCAG